GUUCACUUUGCAGCACAUAUAUUAAAAUUGGAAUGAUACAAAGUAGAUUAUUAGCCUAGCCCCUUCACAAGGAUGACACAAAUUUGUGAAGCGUUCCAUAUUUUU
Molecule: small nuclear RNA, 105 nt
Organism: Mus pahari (shrew mouse)
Lineage: Eukaryota; Metazoa; Chordata; Mammalia; Rodentia; Muridae
Source: RefSeq, a predicted model, not a curated record